AAGCCCCUACGGGGGGCAGCAGUGGGGAAUAUUGGGCAAUGGGCGCAAGCCUGACCCAGCAAUGCCGCGUGAAGGAAGAAGGCCCUCGGGUUGUAAACUUCUUUUAUCAGGGACGAAGGAUGUGACGGUACCUGAUGAAUAAGCUCCGGCUAACUACGUGCCAGCAGCCGCGGUAAUACGUAGGGAGCAAGCGUUAUCCGGAUUUACUGGGUGUAAAGGGCGUGUAGGCGGGCCUGCAAGUCAGAAGUGAAAUCUGGGGGCUUAACCCCUAAACUGCUUUUGAAACUGUGGGUCUUGAGUGAUGG
This 305-nucleotide ribosomal RNA is filed under the name uncultured bacterium. RNAcentral describes it as "bacterial SSU rRNA". It matches the Rfam family "Bacterial small subunit ribosomal RNA", at positions 333 to 652 of the family's 1533-position model. The record is from RNAcentral.